RNAcentral lists this ribosomal RNA (445 nucleotides) under uncultured bacterium. Its description in RNAcentral is "bacterial SSU rRNA". It matches the Rfam family "Bacterial small subunit ribosomal RNA", at positions 331 to 794 of the family's 1533-position model. The record is from RNAcentral.
CCAGACUCCUACGGGAGGCAGCAGUAGGGAAUUUUGCGCAAUGGGCGAAAGCCUGACGCAGCAACACCGCGUGAAUGUUAAGCCCUUCGGGGUGUCAAGUUCUGUCAAUAGGGACGAAUUUUGACUGUACCUAUAAAGGAAGCACCGGCUAACUCCGUGCCAGCAGCCGCGGUAAUACGGAGGAUGCGAGCGUUAUCCGGAUUUAUUGGGUUUAAAGGGUGCGUAGGCGGAAUGCCAAGUCAGCGGUAAAAUCGCGGGGCUCAACCUCGCUCCGCCGUUGAAACUGGCGUUCUUGAGUGGGCGAGAAGUAUGCGGAAUGCGUGGUGUAGCGGUGAAAUGCAUAGAUAUCACGCAGAACUCCGAUUGCGAAGGCAGCAUACCGGCGCCCAACUGACGCUGAAGCACGAAAGCGUGGGUAUCGAACAGGAUUAGAUACCCGCGUAGG